RNAcentral lists this microRNA precursor (139 nucleotides) under Vicugna pacos (alpaca). RNAcentral describes it as "miRNA (ENSVPAG00000016245.1)". The record is from RNAcentral. Lineage: Eukaryota; Metazoa; Chordata; Mammalia; Artiodactyla; Camelidae.
AUAUUAAUUAUUAACAAUAAUCAUAAUAGUUAUAUUAAGGAAUUAAUUACAUGUCCCAAGCAAUAUUUGGGACAUACUUACACUAAAAAAAUUGCUUGUUGUAUAUCUGAAUUUCCAGUUUUUACUAGGUGCCUGUAUU